UGCCCUCCCUGCCAGCUGCAGCCCGUGCGCGAUGUGCUUGCUGCCCUACGGCUUCGAGCCCCCAGCUCCCGAGGACUUGGGGCGGCAGAGUUUGGCGGAGCUGCGGGAGAGGUUGAGGCGCCAGGAGAGACUUUUGUGCAAUGAAAAAUUCAUUUGCAAAUUGCCCAACAAAGGUAAAAAGAUCUCGGACACCGUUGCCAAACUGAAAGCUGCCAUUUCAGAUCGUGAAGUAACGGUUAAAGAGAGAAGUGAACUGUUUCAUCCUGUUAGUGUAGACUGUAAGCUAAGGCAAAAAGCAACCACAAGAGUUGAUACCGAAGUAGACAAGGCCCAGAAUUCUGACCUGAUGCUUGAUACUUCAUCAUUAGUUCCUGAAUGUUCCUCAGCAGACAUAAAAUCAUCUAAAGAAACCUCAGAAACACAGGCACCUACACAUCUCACUCACAAAGGCAAUGAAGAGACUUAAGGAGCUGGCUGCACGGUGAACACUGGCCCAGCUGCCCACAUCAGAGCCUGGGCACCCUCAUCUGAAAUUAACGAACAUCUCCCCCAGCACCCUGUUUCAAGUCAAGAGGAAGAGACUUCCAGCAGUAUCAACAGUCUGUUUAUCAGUAAACUGCAAAAGAUCACAAUUGCAGACCAGAGUGAACCCUCAGAAGAAAACACCAGCACCAGUAACUUUCCCGAGCUGCAGAGUGAGACUCCUAAGAAGCCUCACUACAUGAAAGUGCUAGAAAUGAGAGCCAGAAACCCAGUGCUCCCUCCUCAGAAGUUUAAGACCAAUGUGUUACCCAGACAACACAGUGACUCAUCAAGUCAUUGUCGGAGGGGCCAAUCUCCAGCUUUGGAAGAGCAGUGAUGCAGGGCUAGGCAGCAUCUUGAUGACAUCACAGCAGCGCGUCUCCUUCCACUCCACCACCUGCCUGCACAGCUGCUCUCCAUAGGAGAGUCUGGCUCUGCAGAAAGAGCAGAAGCAGAAUUAUGAGGAGAUGAGAUGCAGGCAAAGCUCGCAGCACAAAAACUAACCCAGAGACUGAAUAUUAAAAUGCAGAGCUAUAAUCCAGAAGGGGAGUCUUCAGGGAGAUACCGAGAAGUGAGGGACGAAGACGAUGCCCAGUCCUCAGAUGAAGGCUGAAGAUGAGUGCUGGACGAUCCCGAGAGCUGACUGUUGAGCUUUCAUUGUCCCAUCAAACUUCCUAACAAGUAUCAAGACCGGUGUCAGACCUUGUUGAGGGACAUAAGUUUUUUAAGUUUCACAAAGGUAGCUACAAAAUAAGAACCCAGUUUGUCUUUCAGAAGAUGAUCUUCACAUGCUUGAACAGUUUAAUAUUUGAACAUUGUGUUUGGCCGUAUUGUGUUACAGUUUUGCAUGGGUCUGAUAUUUUAGUGCACCUAAAGUGAAUUAGGAAGACCUGGUUCCCCUGCUGGAGAAAUGAAGGGAGCAGUCUAAAGCGUGGUACACAUGCUUGCAUGGACAUGUUCCUGAGAUGCUGAAUGUGAAAUACUGUGGAAGACACUCCGAGAUUUUACAGCAAGUGCAUUUGCUGCUCCUGUCUUCUCUUGGGGUGACUGCUGUCUUCCUAUGAUGAGGAUAAGGAAUACUUUGAAGAGGUGCUGGGUCGAGGAGGCUCUUCUGAGCUGGUGUGGGGAGCUGCUUCUGGCUUCCCUUGGCUUGAACUCAUUGCUGUCUUGGGUGAUAGGUUCCUGUACAGGACACUCAUGUUUGGUAAGGAAACCGAUGUUUUCCUAAGAGUUACAGUUGACUUGUCAGUAUAUUGCUUUUUUCAUUUUUAAACCCAAAGAGGUGUUUAUAGGCUGCAGAAACCUCAGUCAUGUAUGUACACAUUUGUGUUGUUUAAAAUGAUUAUAUGAUUGUUUUGUGCAAAGAUAACAAUAUGUUAUCAAAAGCCUUUGUUUAUUAUGUGGAACUUGUAAGGGAGAAAUAAAACA
Molecule: RNA transcript, 1950 nt
Organism: Mastomys coucha (southern multimammate mouse)
Lineage: Eukaryota; Metazoa; Chordata; Mammalia; Rodentia; Muridae
Gene name: DNA-directed RNA polymerase II subunit GRINL1A pseudogene
Exons: 2
Source: RefSeq, a predicted model, not a curated record